AUGAAUGCUGGCGGCGUGCCUAAUACAUGCAAGUCGAGCGGUAACAGGGGGUCUCACCGUCCUUGACACACCUAGCGCUAUAUCGUAGGUGUGAAACUUCGAGGGAACAGUGAGAUCCUGCUGACGAGCGGCGGACGGCUGAGUAACGCGUGGGAAGGACCCCAAACUGAGGGGAUAACUAGUCGAAAGAUUAGCUAAUACCGCAUGUGAUCUUCGGAUUAAAGGAUUUAUCCGGUUUGGGACUGGCCUGCGUACGAUUAGAUAGUUGCGGGGUAAUAGCCCACCAAGUCGACGAUCGUUAGAUGGUUUGAGAAGAUGAUCAUCCAGACUGGGACUGAGACACGGCCCAGACUCCUACGGGAGGCAGCAGUAGGGAAUCUUUCACAAUGGGCGAAAGCCUGAUGGAGCAACGCCGCGUGCAGGAUGACGGCCUUCGGGUUGUAAACUGCUUUUAUAACCGAGAAAUAUGAUGGUAAGUUAUGAAUAAGGACCGGCUAACUACGUGCCAGCCGCUGC
RNAcentral lists this ribosomal RNA (516 nucleotides) under uncultured bacterium. Its description in RNAcentral is "bacterial SSU rRNA". It matches the Rfam family "Bacterial small subunit ribosomal RNA", at positions 29 to 518 of the family's 1533-position model. The record is from RNAcentral.